UACGCAGGGGGCUAGCGUUGUUCGGAAUUACUGGGCGUAAAGCGCACGUAGGCGGAUCGAUCAGUCAGGGGUGAAAUCCCAGGGCUCAACCCUGGAACUGCCUUUGAUACUGUCGAUCUGGAGUAUGGAAGAGGUGAGUGGAAUUCCGAGUGUAGAGGUGAAAUUCGUAGAUAUUCGGAGGAACACCAGUGGCGAAGGCGGCUCACUGGUCCAUUACUGACGCUGAGGUGCGAAAGCGUGGGGAGCAAACAGG
This 253-nucleotide ribosomal RNA is filed under the name uncultured bacterium. RNAcentral's name for it is "partial 16S ribosomal RNA". It matches the Rfam family "Bacterial small subunit ribosomal RNA", at positions 524 to 776 of the family's 1533-position model. The record is from RNAcentral.